UGGUAGUGUGACAUGCCCGUUGUGUUUUACUCUGAUUGUUGUGGAAUUAUUUUAUAUUUAAUUACUUUUGGGUAACGGGGUGUUACAUUCCU
RNAcentral lists this microRNA precursor (92 nucleotides) under Medicago truncatula (barrel medic). RNAcentral's name for it is "MIR2617 microRNA precursor family". It matches the Rfam family "MIR2617 microRNA precursor family". Lineage: Eukaryota; Viridiplantae; Streptophyta; Magnoliopsida; Fabales; Fabaceae. The record is from Rfam by way of RNAcentral.